UACGUAGGGUGCAGGCGUUAAUCGGAAUUACUGGGCGUAAAGCGUGCGCAGGCGGUCUUUUAAGUCAGAUGUGAAAUCCCCGGGCUUAACCUGGGAACUGCGUUUGAAACUGAAAGGCUAGAGUGUGGCAGAGGGGGGUGGAAUUCCACGUGUAGCAGUGAAAUGCGUAGAGAUGUGGAGGAACACCGAUGGCGAAGGCAGCCCCCUGGGCCAAUACUGACGCUCAGGCACGAAAGCGUGGGGAGCAAACAGG
RNAcentral lists this ribosomal RNA (253 nucleotides) under uncultured bacterium. RNAcentral's name for it is "partial 16S ribosomal RNA". It matches the Rfam family "Bacterial small subunit ribosomal RNA", at positions 524 to 776 of the family's 1533-position model. The record is from RNAcentral.